ACACUAACAAAAGGUGUGAGCCACUUAAGCAGAAGAUACAAUGUGAUAUUGGGAAUUUUUUUUUGAUAAUUAAAAAAUAAUAAUAAUAAUAAUAAUGAAACACGAUCAACGAAUUCGUUUACGACUCAAAAGUAACAAGCAAGAUCAAUCUGCGAAGAGAGAGAAUACAGACCUGCAAAAGGAGCGGCGGUGAGAAGGUGAGAGCAGAGAGAUCAAAGUGGCGGGUGGAUGCGGUGGCGAUGAGUGGAGGAGGUGGGUGGAUGCGCGCACUUUAAUCGGUUGCCGAUGCGUGGAUGGGGUCUGGUGGCGCAGCUCUGGUGGCGCGACUCUGGUGGGAUUUGGGAAUUGUGGGUGUGAAUUUAAUUAGGGAUUGUGGAUUGCGCGAGGGAGUUAGUAUAGGUUUUAAAUUAGGUUUCGUCGCCUAAGACAUUUAUUCGUGUCCUAAGUAAUACGAAAUUUCGGGAAAAAAAAGGCGCAAAAUUUACCCGCCUAAUAUUUUACGCACCUAGACGACGGAAAAUACAUUUUCUGUCGCAUUGGUUUACCAAGCCGACAACUUAUAUAAUUUCCGUCGCCUAAGUAACAUAAAUUUUUUAAAAUGUGACUAAUAUUUUGGGUAUCCUAAGCGACAAAAAGAACACUUUCCGUUGCCUUAGGAGUAUUAGGCGAUGAAUUAUUCAAAUUCCGUCGACUAAGUAUAUUAUUAAAAAUUUCCACAAUUUUAUUAUAUUUGCAUCUGAGCAUUUUCGUGUAACUUUUCAAACUAAACCCAAUUAUAACUCCGCGUAAGUAUUCGUACUUAAAAAAGCCACUACUACAAAAACGUUAUCAGACAACACUCAUCGGACAACCUUUUAGGGUUUCCUACUUGUCUGAUGAGGUGAACUGUUAUAUACAACGCAAAGUUACAAAGUUUUGUUGUCUGAUGACACGAAAUUGUCAGGUUAUAUUUCAAGAGUUCAAAACACAACAAUGAUGCUAAUUUUCUGUUGUAUGAUUUAUGAAAAUUUUGGCGGAAGGAUUCCCCCCAUCACCAAAUUGAAAGUCGCACAAGAUGCAAAAUGUUUGGACAAUAGACUUUUAUUUCUUUGUUGUAU
This 1097-nucleotide long non-coding RNA is filed under the name Fragaria vesca (wild strawberry). Its description in RNAcentral is "long non-coding RNA (FVES_LNC004569)". Lineage: Eukaryota; Viridiplantae; Streptophyta; Magnoliopsida; Rosales; Rosaceae. The record is from RNAcentral.